Canis lupus familiaris (dog) is the source of this 462-nucleotide long non-coding RNA. RefSeq lists it as uncharacterized. The record is from RefSeq and is a predicted model, not a curated record. NCBI's taxonomy places the organism in Eukaryota, Metazoa, Chordata, Mammalia, Carnivora, Canidae. The transcript has 3 exons.
CCUACACCCAGGGUUGGGUGUUUGGGAAGCUUGGCUCCCUCCAAGGCAUGGGUGAGUUCUUCCCUCCGUAUGUGGAGUCCAGAACUCGCUGCUGAGGAUGGCCCUGUAUGAUCCUACGGACAUACGGUCUCAAUUUCACAACGUAUCUGUGCCUCUCCAUGGCCCUCCUUGCUCGCAGUCAGUGCUUAUCGACCUUCUGCACGGCUGUCCCGGAGGCCAACCCGGACCUGGUCAGGGGCCUCUCCCGUUCUCGCAGUGGGGCUCCGCGCGCUCGCUAGCGUUCCUUAGGAGCCAAACACUUUGUAGAUCCCGUCAUAGUGGAAACACCUGCUUGCAUUUGUGCAUACAGCAUGCACUCAGCCUGUCCUGUGGGCCGUCAAAACAAAGCCUGUGCCUGCCUUUCUAAUCAGGAUCUCUGCCCCUGAGGACCACUGGCUCUUUAACGGACUGUAGUUUCUUAAA